UAUAUUUUUAAAACAACCGGAUUUACUAAUAAUGGGUUUUUCCUUAUUUCAAAAAUAAAAUAAAUUUUAGGUCAUUUUAUAAUAGCAUGUGUCGAUAAAUAAAUAUAGAAUAUAAUGAUUAACAAAAGUUCAUUUUAAUAUAAAAUGUAUUAUUUGGAGCGCGUGAUAUUUUUUUUAUAUAAAUAAAUGCUGAAUAAAGUCCAAAUGUAUCGUUAAUUACCUAAACUAUUAGCUCGCAUAUAUAAGGUCUCUUAAUCAUCGCUUCUCAACAUCAUUUAGUCCAAAGCAUUCACAGGCAUUGUCAUUUUGGAGACAGACUAAUAAAUAUCAAUCGAAAUAAAAUGGGAACAUCAUUUCUAUUAUUAUUAUUUUCGGUGGUUUUCGCUGCCUGCAUUUCGAUGUCAAUUGGAAAACACAUGAGUAAUAGAUUGACUACACUCAAAGAAAAUGAGCCAGCUUGUGAAAAAUAUUUUUGUAAUCAAGCAUCAAUUUUUUUCAACAUUGAUGCUGUAUGUUCAAGAUCACACAAAAUAAUCACCAGAAUAUCAGUAAGAAAACAAAAAAUACCUAAUCUUCCAAGUGACAUAUUCAAUGGAUUUAUUCAUCUUGAAAAUUUAAGAUUGAUAAAUAUAAAUUUGGAAAAAUUAGAUGAAAAUAUUUUUGA
Long non-coding RNA from Aphidius gifuensis, 664 nucleotides. RefSeq lists it as uncharacterized. The record is from RefSeq and is a predicted model, not a curated record. The transcript is spliced from 3 exons. NCBI's taxonomy places the organism in Eukaryota, Metazoa, Arthropoda, Insecta, Hymenoptera, Braconidae.